UAAGAGAAUAAGUGCUAUGAACCUUUUCAUGAUAAUGUCGUAGAACUUAAAUACCACAGCAGGCGUCUGUGCUCUAAGUACCUAGAUGAUGCGAGUUUAUGGUUGUGCAAGGAAUGAAGAUUGGCAAGUCUAGGAAAUGACAGAAAUUGAUGAAAUUUCCCAGUAUUUAUAGCGAAGAGUUCUACCUCAAAUUUCAGCAGGCACUUGUUAUUGGGGUUUUAUAAGUAGGGACUGCAGCAGCUGGAUCUCGUGUCACAUUUCAAUGAUCCAAACCAUUUAUAUGAUGGGCCUCAAAUCAGAUGGGGGUUAAGUAAAAUAACUCUCAGAUUUGGAUAUUUUCUUUGUUACUUCUUUUUCUGUCUUUCUCACAUCAAAUUCCAUUCUGAAUUUGUAGGCUGCUUGGAUGUCCUGCUUACAUUUGGGGCUUAUUCAACAGCUAGAGGCAUGGUGAUCUCAAGGCUGUUUAUUAGAUUCUUUUGGUUUGGACUCAGUUCAGUAUUUGUAACAUAUAUCUACAUGAAGGUUCUGGAGGAAAAGAUAACCGGAACUCAGAUUCUUUCUAUUUUUGGAUUUAUAUUUUUGUAUUGGGAGUUUAUGCUGGCAUACGCAUAUUUCUUGCUUUGCUACUUAAAUUCCCAGCUUGUCACACCUUGUCAGAGAUGUCUGAUCAGUGGUCAUUCUUUCAAUUUUUUAAGUGGAUUUAUCAGGUACUUUUAUAACUCAAAAUUUGAUUUUUGAGUCACUCGAAGCAGGUGACACCAUUGUCCAGUCAAUUACAUCACUCUUGGCCCUAAUAAAAGCCCACAAGGAAUUUCCUGACAUCACUCAUUUUGUUUCUUAAUAGUAAAUGGUUUCCUUAAACCUACCAGUAUUCUAUAUUGGUGAUCUUGUUGGUCUUAGCAGAGCUGGGAUGUACAGCUUUCAUAUUCUUCGACCAUAGCUGGAAAAAUGUGAGUGUUAUCUUUUCAUAUUUCCAUGUCUUCUACUAAUUCUUUUAACAUCUUUGGUCUAACAUCUUUUUCUAAUUGAUCAAGGUAAUCAUAGCAAUAGGAUUUGAAUAUUUGAUUUCUAGAUAC
This is a long non-coding RNA of Magnolia sinica, 1076 nucleotides long. RefSeq lists it as uncharacterized. The transcript is spliced from 3 exons. NCBI's taxonomy places the organism in Eukaryota, Viridiplantae, Streptophyta, Magnoliopsida, Magnoliales, Magnoliaceae. The record is from RefSeq and is a predicted model, not a curated record.